UUCAGAUAUUGACGAAUGUACCAUAAAUGUGCACAACUGCGACCCAUUCGCGGUUUGUAACAACACGAAUGGAUCUUUCAACUGCACAUGCAUUGUAGGGUAUGAAGGAAAUGGAAAAACUUGUGUAGACAUUGAUGAAUGUGCAAUAUCAACUCAUAACUGUCAUGGAGUUGCUCACUGUUUCAAUCAUCCUGGAUCCUUCAGCUGUGAGUGCCGGAAAAACUACAUUGGAGAUGGGAUCUCAUGUGAGCCCUUUGGAGAUUUCUCAGUAACCAUCAGAAACAUUUCAAAAGACAAGUAUCAGGCCACACCUGUGCAGCGUUCAGUAAAAAGUGUCCA
This is a long non-coding RNA of Stylophora pistillata, 339 nucleotides long. The record is from RefSeq and is a predicted model, not a curated record. NCBI's taxonomy places the organism in Eukaryota, Metazoa, Cnidaria, Anthozoa, Scleractinia, Pocilloporidae.